GGGGAGCUCAAAUGGUAGAGUGCAUGUUUAGCAUGCAUGAGGUCCUGGGUUUAAUCCCCAAUAUCUCCU
RNAcentral lists this transfer RNA (69 nucleotides) under Camelus bactrianus (Bactrian camel). It matches the Rfam family "tRNA". Rfam says of the family: Transfer RNA (tRNA) molecules are approximately 80 nucleotides in length. Their secondary structure includes four short double-helical elements and three loops (D, anti-codon, and T loops). Further hydrogen bonds mediate the characteristic L-shaped molecular structure. tRNAs have two regions of fundamental functional importance: the anti-codon, which is responsible for specific mRNA codon recognition, and the 3' end, to which the tRNAs corresponding amino acid is attached (by aminoacyl-tRNA synthetases). tRNAs cope with the degeneracy of the genetic code in two manners: having more than one tRNA (with a specific anti-codon) for a particular amino acid; and 'wobble' base-pairing, i.e. permitting non-standard base-pairing at the 3rd anti-codon position. The record is from Rfam by way of RNAcentral. RNAcentral also lists the same sequence under 2 other names. Lineage: Eukaryota; Metazoa; Chordata; Mammalia; Artiodactyla; Camelidae.